RNAcentral lists this ribosomal RNA (498 nucleotides) under uncultured bacterium. RNAcentral's name for it is "partial 16S ribosomal RNA". It matches the Rfam family "Bacterial small subunit ribosomal RNA", at positions 27 to 507 of the family's 1533-position model. The record is from RNAcentral.
GGAUGAACGCUGGCGGCGUGCCUACUCCAUGCAAGUCGAGCGAACAGACGAGGAGCUUGCUCCUCUGACGUUAGCGGCGGACGGGUGAGUAACACGUGGAUAACCUACCUAUAAGACUGGGAUAACUUCGGGAAACCGGAGCUACUACCGGAUAAUAUAUUGAACCGCAUGGUUCAAUAGUGAAAGACGGUUUUGCUGUCACUUAUAGAUGGAUCCGCGCCGCAUUAGCUAGUUGGUAAGGUAACGGCUUACCAAGGCAACGAUGCGUAGCCGACCUGAGAGGGUGAUCGGCCACACUGGAACUGAGACACGGUCCAGACUCCUACGGGAGGCAGCAGUAGGGAAUCUUCCGCAAUGGGCGAAAGCUUGACGGAGCAACGCCGCGUGAGUGAUGAAGGUCUUCGGAUCGUAAAACUCUGUUAUUAGGGAAGAACAAAUGUGUAAGUAACUAUGCACGUCUUGACGGUACCUAAUCAGAAAGCCACGGCUAACUACGUG